This is a long non-coding RNA of Ostrinia nubilalis (European corn borer), 345 nucleotides long. RefSeq lists it as uncharacterized. Lineage: Eukaryota; Metazoa; Arthropoda; Insecta; Lepidoptera; Crambidae. The transcript is spliced from 3 exons. The record is from RefSeq and is a predicted model, not a curated record.
UUCGCGGUUGUUGUGUGCGCAAGUUUCACGUGUGGUUUUAUCUUCUAUUUUGUGCUGAUACGUGAAUAUUCAAGUGAUUUCGUGAGUGUUUUUGACGGAGAAUAAAGUUCCAGCAAAUAUCGCCAACUUUGGCUUUGUCGUUUUGGGAAUCAACAUGGUGGGACUUGUUUGACAAGAGAAGCAGACAGUGAGUUUGUGUACAUCGGCAACCGAGGAAGUCCAGCAAAAUGUUCCAGAAACCAGCGUUUGGUAGCACCAACACGUCGACGUUCGGCUCGUUCAACGCCGGAACGAGCACGGCGUCGCCGUUCAGCGGGUUUAAACCGGCGACCGGCGGGAGCGCGU